GAAGAAGAAGAAGAAGAGAAGAAGAAAAACAGGAGAAGCAGUGAUGGAUCAGAUAGACCCGGAGUCACAGUUUCUUGCUUCAAAGCAGGAGACAGGUUACGAAUGGGAACUCUUCAAGGAAAAUGUGAGACCUUUGAAGAGAGGCCGAAACGUUCGCCUCUUGAACGACGCCCUCAAAUCCCACAACCACAAUCAACUCAAGAAGUCUCUUCUUGAGACUCGAAGGAGGUUGAUUGAGGCAAUUGAUGACUAUAAAGGGGAUGAUCCUCUCCUGCCAUGGCUCGAGUGUAUUAAAUGGGUUCAGGAGUCAUUUCCGCCUGGUGGAGAUUGCUCAGGACUGAUAUUAAUAUAUGAGCAAUGUGUGCGUGCCUUUUGGCAUUCAGAUCUCUACAAGGACGAUCUUCGCUACCUCAAAGUGUGGCUGGAAUAUGCUGAAAACUGUGCUGAUGCGGAAGUCAUUUACAAUUUUCUUGACGCAAAUGAAAUUGGAAAGUCACAUUCUGCAUUCUAUGUUGCAUAUGCUUUACAUAUGGAGUCCAAGUCUAAGAUGAAGGCUGCAAAUGACAUAUUUGAUCUUGGGAUAUCUAGGGAGGCUCAACCAAUAGAAAAAUUGAAGGACGCCUACAAGAAAUUUCUCAUGAGAUCAAUGAGAAGACCAAAAGUUGUGGAGGUAUGCAACUUAUAUUAAGUGAAAUAAUUUUUAUGUAAAUGAUUUAUUGUUGUGUCUUGUUUCCAUUUUUAGGAUGCCUCUGGAGAAAAUAACUUGCCAGUCCGAAGCUUUGGAACUGUGUUGGCCAGCGCAGAAAACAGUAAGUCUUUAUUACUGUGUUCCACCGUCUCAAGUUCUUUACAUGCUUAAAAACUGUUUCUUUUCUUCUAGGGAGGCACAAUAUGGAGAAUUCAGAUAUUUCCAGGAACAGAUUGAAUCUAGACAGGCAAGUAUAUAGGAUUCUACUGUAGCUGCCAUGGAUUGUCUUGAGAUUAUUUUUCUCCUUCUCUCUCCUUUGUUCCAAUCUCCUUGUCCUUUAUGAGAUAUGACAAUAAAGUAUGAAAAAUACAAAAGAUUCAAUCAAGACUGCUUAUUACAGAAAUACAGAAACUAAUUUUGUAUUAUUACAGGAAUACAGAAACUAAUUUUGUAACUAACUGUAAUAAAAUCAGACAAAAGAUAACAGAUUGAUUUAGGAUUGCAACAAAUCACACAUCACAUGCAUCAUUUCCAUUAAGAAAUAAAUUGUCUAAUGCAUUCUGCUUUGAAUUGAAGGGGAAAGGAGUGGACAAAAAUGGAAUGUUAUCAAAAUUAUCUCAGGAAUGAAUUUUUUUUAGUUAAAUUGUAAUGGCUUGUUCUUAUAAUUCAUUCAAAAUCCAAAUUUCCAUGUUUUGAUGACAUAGUUCUUUUACAUCUUUUUGGGUUUAUAAAUAUAUGUAUAGUCAAAUGGUGAAAAAUGAUCCAUAUA
RNAcentral lists this unclassified non-coding RNA (1457 nucleotides) under Hevea brasiliensis (rubber tree). The record is from RNAcentral. Lineage: Eukaryota; Viridiplantae; Streptophyta; Magnoliopsida; Malpighiales; Euphorbiaceae.